AGCGAACGCUGGCGGCAGGCCUAACACAUGCAAGUCGAGCGGGCGUAGCAAUACGUCAGCGGCAGACGGGAGAGUAACACGUGGGAACGUGCCCUUUGGUUCGGAAUAACUCAGGGAAACUUGAGCUAAUACCGGAUAAGCCCUUCGGGGGAAAGAUUAAUUGCAAUUGGGCGGGCCCGGGUCGGAUUACCUAGUUGGUGAGGUAAUGGCUCACCAAGGCGACGAUCCGUAGCUGGUCUGAGAGGAUGACCAGCCUCACUGGGACUGAGACACGGCCCAGACUCCUACGGGAGGCAGCAGUGGGGAAUAUUGGACAAUGGGCGCAAGCCUGAUCCAGCCAUGCCGCGUGGAUGAUGAAGGCCCUAGGGUUGUAAAGUCCUUUUAACGGGGAAGAUAAUGACGGUACCCGUAGAAUAAGCCCCGGCUAACUUCGUGCCAGCCGCCGCGGUAA
This 451-nucleotide ribosomal RNA is filed under the name uncultured bacterium. RNAcentral's name for it is "partial 16S ribosomal RNA". It matches the Rfam family "Bacterial small subunit ribosomal RNA", at positions 29 to 523 of the family's 1533-position model. The record is from RNAcentral.